RNAcentral lists this ribosomal RNA (463 nucleotides) under uncultured bacterium. RNAcentral's name for it is "bacterial SSU rRNA". It matches the Rfam family "Bacterial small subunit ribosomal RNA", at positions 337 to 791 of the family's 1533-position model. The record is from RNAcentral.
GCCUACGGGACGCAGCAGUGAGGAAUAUUGCGCAAUGGGGGCAACCCUGACGCAGCGACGCCGCGUGGAUGAUGAAGGCCUUCGGGUCGUAAAAUCCUGUCAAGUGGAAAGAAGUGCAUGGUGGCUAAUACUCAUCAUGUUUGACGGUACCACUGAAGGAAGCACCGGCUAACUCCGUGCCAGCAGCCGCGGUAAUACGGAGGGUGCAAGCGUUGUUCGGAAUUACUGGGCGUAAAGCGCGCGUAGGCGGUUUUAUAAGUCAGAUGUGAAAGCCCUCGGCUCAACCGGGGACGUGCAUUUGAAACUGUAAGACUUGAGUAUUGGAGGGGGUGGUGGAAUUCCCGGUGUAGAGGUGAAAUUCGUAGAUAUCGGGAGGAAUACCAGUGGCGAAGGCGACCACCUGGCCAAAUACUGACGCUCAUGUGCGAAAGCGUGGGGAGCAAACAGGAUUAGAUACCCUGGU